GGUUCGAUUCUGGCUCAGAUUGAACGCUGGCGGGUGCUUUACACAUGCAAGUCGAACGGCAGCACGGACUUCGGUCUGGUGGCGAGUGGCGAACGGGUGAGUAAUGUAUCGGAACGUGUCUAGUAGCGGGGGAUAUUAACUACGCGAAAGCGUAGCUAAUACCGCAUACGCCCUUCGGGGAAAGCGGGGGCCUUCGGGCCUCGCACUAUUAAACUGACCGAUAUCGGAUUAGCUAGUUGGUGGGUAACGGCUCGCCAAGGCGACGAUCGUAGCUGGUUUGAGAGGACGACCAGCCACACUGCUGGGACUGAGACACGGCCCAGACUCCUGGGAGAGCAGCAGUGGGGAAUUUUGGACAAUGGGGAAACCCUGAUCAACCAUCCCGCGUGUGCGAUGAAGGCCUUCGGGUUGUAAAGCACUUUUGGCAGGAAAGAAGCAGCUGCAGGAUAAUACCCGAUGCAACUGACGGUACCUGCAGAAUAAGCACCGGCUAACUACGUGCCAGCAGCCGCGGUAAUACGUAGGGUGCAAGCGUUAAUCGGAAUUACUGGGCGUAAAGCGUGCGCAGGCGGUUCGGAAAGAAGAUGUGAAAUCCCAGAGCUUAACUUUGGAACUGCAUUUUUAACUACCGAGCUAGAGUGUGUCAGAGGGAGGUGGAAUUCCGCGUGUAGCAGUGAAAUGCGUAGAUAUGCGGAGGAACACCGAUGGCGAAGGCAACCUCCUGGGAUAACACUGACGCUCAUGCACGAAAGCGUGGGGAGCAAGCAAGUUAGAUACCCUGGUAGUCCACGCCCUAAACGAUGUCAACUAGCUGUUGGGGCCUUCGGGCCUUGGUAGCGCAACUAACGCGUGAAGUUGACCGCCUGGGGAAUGCGGUCGCAAGAUUAAAACUCAAAGGGGUGAUUGACGGGGACCCGCACAAGCGGUGGAUGAUGUGGAUUAAUUCGAUGCAACGCGAAAAACCUUACCUACCCUUGACAUGUCUGGAAUCCCGAAGAGAUUUGGGAGUGCUCGCAAGAGAACCGGAACACAGGUGCUGCAUGGCUGUCGAUCGCUCGUGUCGUGAGAUGUUGGGUUAAGUCCUGCAAAGCAGGCACAACCCUUGUCAUUAGUUGCUACGAAAGGGCACUCUACAGCCUGAGACUGCCGGUGACAAACCGGAGGAAGGUGGGGAUGACGUCAAGUCCUCAUGGCCCUUAUGGUGGGGCUUCACGUCAUACAAUGGUCGGGACGGUGCGCAACCCGCAGGGGAGCCAAUCCCAGAAACCCGAUCCGUGGUCCGGAUCGCAGUCUGCAACUCGACUGCGUGAAGUCGGAAUCGCUAGUAAUCGCGGAUCAGCAUGUCGCGGUGAAUACGUUCCAGGUCUUGUACACACCGCCCCAUCACACCAUGGGAGUGGGUUUUUUUACCAGAAGUAGUUAGCCUAACCCGUAAGGAGGGCGAUUACCACGGUAGGAUUCUGACUGGGGUGAAGUCGUAACAAGGUAA
This 1489-nucleotide ribosomal RNA is filed under the name uncultured Bordetella sp. RNAcentral's name for it is "partial 16S-23S ribosomal RNA intergenic spacer". It matches the Rfam family "Bacterial small subunit ribosomal RNA". The record is from RNAcentral. Lineage: Bacteria; Pseudomonadati; Pseudomonadota; Betaproteobacteria; Burkholderiales; Alcaligenaceae.